UACGUACCGUCCAAACGUUAUUCGGAUUUACUGGGCUUAAAGGGUGCGUAGGCGGCUCAGAAAGUAGGGUGUGAAAGCCCUCGGCUCAACCGAGGAAUCGCGCCCUAAACUACUGGGCUUGAGGAACGCAGAGGUAAGCGGAACUUAGGGUGGAGCGGUGAAAUGCGUUGAUAUCCUAAGGAACACCAGGAGCGAAAGCGGCUUACUGGGCGUUUUCUGACGCUGAGGCACGAAAGCCAGGGGAGCGAACGGG
RNAcentral lists this ribosomal RNA (253 nucleotides) under uncultured bacterium. RNAcentral's name for it is "partial 16S ribosomal RNA". It matches the Rfam family "Bacterial small subunit ribosomal RNA", at positions 524 to 776 of the family's 1533-position model. The record is from RNAcentral.